Molecule: ribosomal RNA, 484 nt
Filed under: uncultured bacterium
Lineage: Bacteria
Description: partial 16S ribosomal RNA
Rfam family: Bacterial small subunit ribosomal RNA
Source: RNAcentral
AUUGAACGCUGGCGGCAGGCCUAACACAUGCAAGUCGAGCGGAUGAAGGGAGCUUGCUCCUGGAUUCAGCGGCGGACGGGUGAGUAAUGCCUAGGAAUCUGCCUGGUAGUGGGGGAUAACGUCCGGAAACGGGCGCUAAUACCGCAUACGUCCUGAGGGAGAAAGUGGGGGAUCUUCGGACCUCACGCUAUCAGAUGAGCCUAGGUCGGAUUAGCUAGUUGGUGGGGUAAAGGCCUACCAAGGCGACGAUCCGUAACUGGUCUGAGAGGAUGAUCAGUCACACUGGAACUGAGACACGGUCCAGACUCCUACGGGAGGCAGCAGUGGGGAAUAUUGGACAAUGGGCGAAAGUCUGAUCCAGCCAGGCCGCGUGUGUGAAGAAGGUCUUCGGAUUGUAAAGCACUUUAAGUUGGGGGGAAGGGCAGUAAGUUAAUACCUUGCUGUUUUGACGUUACCAACAGAAUAAGCACCGGCUAACUUCGUG